Tripterygium wilfordii is the source of this 766-nucleotide long non-coding RNA. RefSeq lists it as uncharacterized. The record is from RefSeq and is a predicted model, not a curated record. NCBI's taxonomy places the organism in Eukaryota, Viridiplantae, Streptophyta, Magnoliopsida, Celastrales, Celastraceae. The transcript has 3 exons.
GCCCUUCCCAUGUUUUCCUUGAGGUCAGAAACUGACCUAAGAGUUAAGGAAUUUGUUGAUAAAACUACUUGUCGAUUGGUCUGUGAAGUCUGGGUUAGUUUAGCUUCUACCAAUAAAUGACACAUCUGUGCAUGGGAUGUGGUGGGAUUCCCAUCCCUACAGAAAGAGAUUCAUGAGGCUAAAGAGCGACUGCAUGGAAAGGGUGUUGAUUACGAGGCUACUUUGGCUACUAAACUUUCAAUUGCGAAGAAAAUUUUUGCCUGUGAAAAGGAUCUAAUACUGAACCCUAGUUCCUUCCAGAAAUAUUUUUCUGAGAAUGAGGUCUUAGAUCAUUACUCUCUUCUGCUACUAAUUAUUAUGUUUUGGCAAAAAAUCCAUGGUAUGCCAUUUGCUUGAUUGUUAAUUUCUUAUUUAUUAAAUUUGAAAUGUGAUCAAUUUUCUUAAUUGCGUGCUUCUGAGGUCGAAUAACAUAUGUGUACAUUGUUGAAGGAAUGACUAAAACCCUAUGCGGCAUUUUGUUUUCUGAGAAGUCAUAUCAUAGCCAUCAUACAAUGUGUCUUAUGGAAUUGAUUACACUGCAUUCUGAAGUAAUUGAAUUAUGUACCCUUUUGGGUCUUGUAUAGUAUUAAGAGGGUGCAUUGCCUCUAUCCUUUCAGCAUAAUAGCAUGUACAUGAUACACAUACAAGGGAGUAUAUAGUUGCAAUUACUUCUGUUCUUGUUUAAUAUACCAAAACAUUUAGGCAAUCCACAAACCUCAGUCUGCUU